This 253-nucleotide ribosomal RNA is filed under the name uncultured bacterium. RNAcentral's name for it is "partial 16S ribosomal RNA". It matches the Rfam family "Bacterial small subunit ribosomal RNA", at positions 524 to 776 of the family's 1533-position model. The record is from RNAcentral.
GACGUAGGGCGCGAGCGUUGUCCGGAUUUAUUGGGCGUAAAGAGCUCGUAGGCGGCUUGUCGCGUCGACCGUGAAAACUCGCAGCUCAACUGCGAGCCUGCGGUCGAUACGGGCAGGCUAGAGUUCGGUAGGGGAGACUGGAAUUCCUGGUGUAGCGGUGAAAUGCGCAGAUAUCAGGAGGAACACCGGUGGUGCAGACGGCUCUCUGGACCGUAACUGACGCUGAGGCACGAAAGUGUGGGGAUCAAACAGG